GACGAACGCUGGCGGCGUGCUUAACACAUGCAAGUCGAACGGGGUCAAUAGCAAUAUUGAUCUAGUGGCGGACGGGUGAGUAACGCGUGAGGAACCUGCCUUCAAGAGGGGGAUAACAUCGAGAAAUCGAUGCUAAUACCGCAUAAGACCACAUUCCCGCAUGGGAAAGGGGUCAAAGCUAUUGCGCUUGAAGAUGGACUCGCGUCCCAUUAGCUAGUAGGCGGGGUAACGGCCCACCGAGGCAACGAGGGGUAGCCGAGCUGAGAGGCUGACCGGCCACACUGGGACUGAGACACGGCCCAGACUCCUACGGGAGGCAGAAGUGGGGAAUAUUGGGCAAAGGGCGCAAGCCUGACCCAGCAACGCCGCGUGGAGGAAGAAGGUUUUCGGAUUGUAAACUUCUGUCCUCAAGGACGAAAAAAAUGACGGUACUUGGGGAGGAAGCCCCGGCUAACUACGUGCCAGCAGCCGCGGUAA
RNAcentral lists this ribosomal RNA (477 nucleotides) under uncultured bacterium. Its description in RNAcentral is "partial 16S ribosomal RNA". It matches the Rfam family "Bacterial small subunit ribosomal RNA", at positions 28 to 523 of the family's 1533-position model. The record is from RNAcentral.